RNAcentral lists this ribosomal RNA (441 nucleotides) under uncultured bacterium. RNAcentral describes it as "partial 16S ribosomal RNA". It matches the Rfam family "Bacterial small subunit ribosomal RNA", at positions 338 to 795 of the family's 1533-position model. The record is from RNAcentral.
CCUACGGGUGGCAGCAGUGGGGAAUAUUGCACAAUGGGGGAAACCCUGAUGCAGCAACGCCGCGUGAAGGAAGACGGUUUUCGGAUUGUAAACUUCUGUUCUUAGUGAAGAAUAAUGACGGUAGCUAAGGAGCAAGCCACGGCUACCUACGUGCCAGCAGCCGCGGUAAUACGUAGGUGGCAAGCGUUGUCCGGAAUUACUGGGUGUAAAGGGAGCGCAGGCGGGAAGCCAAGUCAGCUGUGAAAACUACGGGCUUAACUUGUAGACUGCAGUUGAAACUGGUUUUCUUGAGUGAAGUAGAGGUUGGCGGAAUUCCGAGUGUAGCGGUGAAAUGCGUAGAUAUUCGGAGGAACACCAGUGGCGAAGGCGGAUGACUGGACGGCAACUGACGGUGAGGCGCGAAAGCGUGGGGAGCAAACAGGAUUAGAUACCCGGGUAGUC